Long non-coding RNA from Diprion similis, 450 nucleotides. RefSeq lists it as uncharacterized. Lineage: Eukaryota; Metazoa; Arthropoda; Insecta; Hymenoptera; Diprionidae. The transcript is spliced from 2 exons. The record is from RefSeq and is a predicted model, not a curated record.
UUACUGAGUUUAUUCUAUAUACCGAUUUUCUUCUUUAGCCGAGGAUAUGUUAGUUUUUUACUCCUUUCUAUUUUCAUAAUUUCAGAUAAAAUUAAUCUCAUUAAUAAUACUCGUUGAGAGGGAAAAGAGGAGAAAAUGAAAAUUGGUGGAAGGUAUUCUGCGACAAUAAAAUUUUCCUUCGAGAAGUUGUGUUGAUGGUUCAACUCACAUUAGUCUUAAUUUCUAAUUGUGGAAAACAAUUCCUCUCAAGUCACAUAAAUACCCAAACGAAUCUUACUUCAUUAUUCGUUCUUGCAAUUAUUUAUACACCAAAUAACUCUUGAAAAAUUGAAAUAUCAAAUUUUAUUUUACACCUCCAUUUGUUGAUCAGAUACAACAAAUAAUUUACACAAUAUUGAAACAAGCAAGCACGAAUAAAAACAGUUAGCGGUUGCGGCAGUAGCCAGCGAC